Molecule: ribosomal RNA, 460 nt
Filed under: uncultured bacterium
Lineage: Bacteria
Description: partial 16S ribosomal RNA
Rfam family: Bacterial small subunit ribosomal RNA
Source: RNAcentral
CCUACGGGAGGCAGCAGUGAGGAAUAUUGGUCAAUGGGCGCGAGCCUGAACCAGCCAAGUCGCGUGAGGGAUGACGGUCCUACGGAUUGUAAACCUCUUUUGCCGGGGAGCAAGCGUGCGUUCGUGAACGCGCGUCGAGAGUACCCGGAGAAAAAGCAUCGGCUAACUCCGUGCCAGCAGCCGCGGUAAUACGGAGGAUGCGAGCGUUAUCCGGAUUUAUUGGGUUUAAAGGGUGCGUAGGCGGGAUGCCAAGUCAGCGGUAAAAAUGCGGUGCUCAACGCCGUCGAGCCGUUGAAACUGGCGUUCUUGAGUGGGCGAGAAGUAUGCGGAAUGCGUGGUGUAGCGGUGAAAUGCAUAGAGAUCACGCAGAACUCCGAUUGCGAAGGCAGCCUGCCGGGGUGCGACUGACGCUGAGGCUCGAAGGUGCGGGUAUCAAACAGGAUUAGAUACCCUUGUAGUC